UCUCUUUCCUCGUCUCCCGCUCCACCGCCGCCGCCCCAUCUCCCGCUCCACCGCCGCCGCCCCAUCUCCCGUCUCCAGUCGCAGCCGCCGCCGCACCCCAAUCCAACCCCGCCGCCGACGAUCUCCUCGCCCCCCCUGCGCCGCCGCCCCCAACCUUCUAUUCCUCUCCCAAGGGAAUCCCAUGGGAAGGGAAGGGAAGGCAAGGGAAGGGAAGGAAGGAAGAGGGAGCGCCCAGAUCCACGGCGGCAUCAGCGCGCCGUCGUCGACCUGAUCCGCGUCCGUCCUCGAGGGAGGUCUGCCAUGGAGGUCCGACCCGGCCCGGCAGCAGCCAUGGACGGACGGAGACGCCCCAAACCCUACCCUCAAGGACGACGCCUCAACCUUCAAGGACGCGCGCCGGCGACCGCGGAUCUCCGGUGAUGGCUAUGGAUGACUGCCCCUCUGGACGAACGACCUGCAGAUGCAGCAACGCACGAGUCCUCCCUCCCUCCCUCAUGGCUCUGCUUCCUCCUACCCUGCCCCCCUCACGUGGGCGUGGUCCCACAAAUAGAAGCGUUGCUCAUAUGCUCCUGAAUCAAGUUUGCAGUAUGAUGGAGUUUACAGAAUUGAGAAUUGUUACAUAAAGAUUGGUGUUCAGAUCAGGCACUGUGGAGCACAGGGAAGGAGGACAAGGAUGAAGGAUUUAGUCUGUCUAAAUCAUGGGCAGAUCGGGCACUGUGGAGCACAGGGAAGGAGGACAAGGAUGAAGGAUGGGAUGUGUGUAGAAUUUGGCGCCAAGGGAGAUGAUCGAGAUGGUGGAGGAGACACCACUCAAGCCCAUCGAUCCAGUGAGUAAUGUGUGUUGUUCUUGGUGACUGAUUUCGUGAUGCAGGUGUUCUGGCCCAACUUCCUCUUUUCCUUCUUUGUGGUCUUUCUGUUAUGGUGACCGGAGGAUUGCUAACUUUGUGGUAUUUUGCUUCUAUGAAUGAUGCCCAUGAUUUGAUCUAUGAACUUAACGCGAUCUUGGAUCUGAUUAGGUUUUCCCUUGCAGAUUGCCGCACAUAAACCUGCUGAGCCGACAUCGACGCCAAGUGUGGCGAUGCCACUUCCGAUGAUCGGGAGGGUUCAUUCCAGCUCAUUGUGGUAAUCUGCAGAAAUCAAGUUAACAAAUCUUAAUUGAAGUAUAUGUUUCUAAAUUUUCGGUGGUGAUUUUUUUGUGACUAGACGAAAUCAAAACUGAAGUAUGUAUUCUGAAUUUUGCUCAUAUGACUAGAUGCAUAUGAACUGAAGCUCCGUCAUUCUUUCUAAGGUGAUAGUGGUCGCAACCAGUUAAGAUUAGGGGCUUUAAAGGAACUAUAAAAAAUAUGUGAACUGCUGGCAAUGUCGAUGUAAACACGGGCAUUUAACCAACAAAUUUUGAUUUAACUAUAACUAUCUGUUGACACAAGGCUAAAAAAGAGUAGAAUUGAUCUGUAAGCAAUUCUUCUUGAGAUAGAGACUUUCUGGGUAGUUUGCUACAAGUAUAUAACCUGGAACUUCAGUUCGAGAUAUACAACCGGCAAUCUGAGAUCACUAUGACAAUCUAGAUAGGUUAGCAAAAUCUCUUAGGCGGUGAGACUUAUGCAAGUAGCUAAGACUACAAAUAGAUGAGUGUUGGCCAUGAUUAGCAGCACCACAUCAGGAGGGCAUUCGUCCUAGAAGUGUGGUCAGGGCCGACUGGGGAUGAUUAUUUUUUCGUGGGCAAGGUAUGAUUGAACACAGGUGAGUGUCUUCUCAACUUGGUGUUGCUUCUAAUGUGUUGGACACUGAUCCAAUUUUGCGGCGAGCUGAGAUGCAUCUUUGAAAAUCUCUUGAGAGGUGUGAAUUAGUCCAAGCCUAUGCAGAAUGCCUACAUAUGCCACUUGAACUUUGGAGGGGUAGACUGAUGGAUCGUUGGGCUGGGAUGAAGUUACAUAUAGUGUGUUUUGUCAUGAGAAGAAAUGCAAACGAAAACACAAUUACAUUACAUUGUUAAUGUAUAUGGUAUGAAAAAAACGGAACUUGUUUUACUAAUUGGAGUGUAAUGUAAUCGACUACACUACAGAACUCAGCACGUGUUGAUUAACCAAAAAGAUAAGGAGAGGCCCCAUAUGCCCCCUGAAGGGCUGUCUCUGCUAUGCCGAUGGAGACCUUGAGGUCAAUGGCAUGUUGGUGGAGACAUGGCAAAGCUGACCGGCUUGUCAUCCCUGUCGUGGCUACAGGAUGGAUCCACCGAGUUUGUGAUUUUUAUGGAAAAAAACAUGAACGUAGCGAUUGCAUCAAUAGAAUAUUUUGGUCCUUUGGUUCCAAAUACCCAUAUUUAGUUGGACAACUGCAAAUUCAGACUAUACUGCUUAUGUGCAGUAUAACGCCCUGACUCCGAACUCUUGAUUUGCUGCCAAGUAACACCAAAUUGUCGCAUGUAUAAUGUUCCAAAAUUGUAGGUGUAGUACUACUUCAGCGAUGAGGAUCUUAUGAUGGGUGAGUGCAUGUUCAAAUUUGUGAACAGGAACAAGGAUGGCUUUGGUAAGUACUGCGCCAUUGUUUUAGGACAUACAUGUAAAAACAACACUCUGAAUCGUGGUGCUCACAAGUUCAGAUUCUUGGUUGUUGUGUAGGGAUGCUCCUGAUCUUAUUUGUUUUGGCAACAUAUCGUAAUCUUACCCAGUUGGAAUAAAGGGACGAGAUUGUUCUUUCAGCAUGACGAUCUACAAUUCAUCAUAUGAAAACCUUUGUACUUGGAUAUUGUUACAGGCUUGGUGGCAGGAAAGUAGAGCUUUAGAUCGAGGUCCAACACACAAAUCCCAACUUGUUUACUAUUGACACUAGCCAUCGGCCCUCUAAUCAUAUCUUAACAUGCUUGCUCUUCAUCUAUUAAAGAUAGAUUCUUGCUUCUUAUUCAUCUCUUUAAAUACCUUUUUUUUCUAAUUUGUAACUCUUCUUACCUAUUUUUGGCAGAGGUACAAUGGUUAUUGACUUGUAUUAUCUAUUUCUGACCCAACAAAUCUAAUAUGCAAGGAUAACAAUAAAAUCAGAAUGAUCAAAAGUCAAAACACAUGUGCAUGCUUCAUGAGUUAUGUAUACUUCUGAAUCUAUUUUUACCUCUACUAUCUGAUAUGUUGAAUAGUGCAUGCUCUGCUCUUGCAUGCCACAUCUGCCUGUACUAUGCUGUUAUUUAUGAUUUCGGGGGACUAAUGUCUUGAUUAUAGGAAGUGGAGAGGAAAACCCCUGAUCAGUAGGGAGUACAUGAUAACGUGGUCCAGCUCACCAUCGUAGGCUGCAGGCUGGUUUGGUAACAAGCGGAGACAAACUAAGGAAAAGGUGCCAACGAUGGAGGUGUGUGUGCGCCCACUUCGCCCAUUUGGGUACACGUGGAAGACCUUGCCACUAAGAGCUUCUUGCAGGGGCAAGAGGUGAACUGACGCUGAGUGUUGUGAUCCGUGGGGAGUAGUGUGAGGUGUCCAGUGAAGGGACAUGAUUCAGGCAAGUAACUGUUACUAUAGGAAAAGUCCCUUUAUACACUGAAGUCCCUUUAAAGUGAUGUGCAUAGCAAAGUAAAAUAGGAAAAGUUUAACCUUUGUUUUAGUUAGCCUUGGCGCAGUGGUAAAGCUGCUGCCUUGUGACCAUGAGGUCACGGGUUCAAGUCCUGGAAACAGCCUCUUACAGAAAUGUAGGGAAAGGCUGCGUACUAUAGACCCAAAGUGGUCGGACCCUUCCCCGACCCUGCGCAAGCGGGAGCUACAUGCACCGGGCUGCCCUUUUUCUCAGCUAUACUAUAUUUGGUUUUCCUUUAUGUUUUCUGAGGUCGCAAAAGCCUUUGUAGCGAUCAAAGAUGAGGAGCAACAAUCAUUGUUAUUGCACCAUGUGUAUUUUUCCUCACUUCUAAAUAAUAAAUUCAAUACGGUAUCAUCUUUCGUGGUAGGUGAGAACCACAUUAUCUGUAAAUUGGGCAAUUUCAUAGAUUUGCAAAGGUUUUAAAAUUGUGCCAAGUGAUGCAACACUAGAUGUUGGACUGCUGUAACAACAAGGAUGCUACAAGAGGUCUUUGUCAAAAAAAAGGAUGCUACAAGAGGUGCUUAAGGAGGCACACACACCUUUGUCGAAGAGGAUAAAAGCGGGAGAGACGACCAAUCCUUACCGUUAUAUAAGUGGAUCAAUAUACAUAGAAGCUACAUGCCAUCAUGUUCAGUACAUAUUUUGGAAUUAAAAAAUGUUUGAUUAGAAUUUUGUUUUUCUGUGACAACGCAUGGGCAUGUAUGUGAUGACCUAGAAGUACUAUAUUUGUGUCUGCAAAAUUAUGGUUACCCAUAAAAUCGUAUGCUUAUUCAUUGCAGCCUGUACACAUUUUCUUAUUCUAUCCUUGC
This 4361-nucleotide ribosomal RNA is filed under the name Triticum aestivum (bread wheat). RNAcentral describes it as "partial small subunit ribosomal RNA". Lineage: Eukaryota; Viridiplantae; Streptophyta; Magnoliopsida; Poales; Poaceae. The record is from RNAcentral.